Molecule: ribosomal RNA, 253 nt
Filed under: uncultured bacterium
Lineage: Bacteria
Description: partial 16S ribosomal RNA
Rfam family: Bacterial small subunit ribosomal RNA
Source: RNAcentral
UACGUAGGGGGCAAGCGUUGUCCGGAAUCAUUGGGCGUAAAGCGCGUGUAGGCGGCUCGAUAAGUCUGCUGUGAAAGUUCAGGGCUCAACCCUGAAAUGCCGGUGGAAACUGUCGAGCUAGAGUCCGGAAGAGGCGAGUGGAAUUCCUGGUGUAGCGGUGAAAUGCGCAGAUAUCAGGAGGAACACCAAUGGCGAAGGCAGCUCGCUGGGAUGGUACUGACGCUGAGACGCGAAAGCGUGGGGAGCAAACAGG